ACGGGUGAGUAACGCGUGGGAAUCUACCUUGUGGUACGGAACAACCAAGGGAAACUUUGGCUAAUACCGUAUGAGCCCUUCGGGGGAAAGAUUUAUCGCCAUAAGAUGAGCCCGCGUAGGAUUAGCUAGUUGGUGAGGUAAUGGCUCACCAAGGCGACGAUCCUUAGCUGGUCUGAGAGGAUGACCAGCCACACUGGGACUGAGACACGGCCCAGACUCCUACGGGAGGCAGCAGUGGGGAAUAUUGGACAAUGGGCGCAAGCCUGAUCCAGCCAUGCCGCGUGUGUGAUGAAGGCCUUAGGGUUGUAAAGCACUUUCGCCGAUGAAGAUAAUGACUGUAGUCGGAGAAGAAGCCCCGGCUAACUUCGUGCCAGCAGCCGCGGCAAUACGAAGGGGGCUAGCGUUGUUCGGAAUUACUGGGCGUAAAGCGUACGUAGGCGGAUUGUUAAGUGAGGGGUGAAAUCCCGAGGCUCAACCUCGGAACUGCCUUUCAUACUGGCAAUCUUGAGUCCGGGAGAGGUGAGUGGAACUCCUAGUGUAGAGGUGAAAUUCGUAGA
RNAcentral lists this ribosomal RNA (557 nucleotides) under uncultured bacterium. RNAcentral's name for it is "bacterial SSU rRNA". It matches the Rfam family "Bacterial small subunit ribosomal RNA", at positions 102 to 694 of the family's 1533-position model. The record is from RNAcentral.